Molecule: non-coding RNA, 72 nt
Organism: Aedes aegypti (yellow fever mosquito)
Lineage: Eukaryota; Metazoa; Arthropoda; Insecta; Diptera; Culicidae
Source: Rfam
GGCUCGGUAGCUUAGUUGGUAAAGCGCUCGUCUAGCAUACAAGAGUCCUGGGUUCGUAUCCCAACCGAGCAC